AGAGUUUGAUCAUGCUCAGGACGAACGCUAGCGGUGUGCCUAAUACAUGCAAGUCGAACGGUUCUUUCUUUGAUGAAGCUUCGGCAGAUUCGUUGAAAGAAUAGUGGCGAACGGGUGAGUAAUGCAUGAGCAAUCUGCCCUAAAGACCGGGAUAAGCUUUCGAAAGGAAGUUUAAUACCGGAUAAUAAAAUCAGAUCGCAUGAUUUGAUUUUCAAAGGUAGCUUUUUAAGCCUCUGCUUUUGGAUGAGCUCAUGUCCUAUCAGCUAGUUGGUGAGGUAAAGGCUCACCAAGGCCAAGACGGGUAGCCGGUCUGAGAGGACGGUCGGCCACACUGGGACUGAGACACGGCCCAGACUCCUACGGGAGGCAGCAGUAGGGAAUCUUGCGCAAUGGGCGAAAGCCUGACGCAGCGACACCGCGUGGAGGAUGAAGGUUUUCGAAUCGUAAACUCCUGUCAAUAGAGGAGGAAGGUAUUAUAGGUUAAUAGCUUAUAAUAUUGACGGUACUUUAUAAGGAAGCCCCGGCUAACUACGUGCCAGCAGCCGCGGUAAUACGUAGGGGGCAAGCGUUGUCCGGAUUUAUUGGGCGUAAAGCGCACGCAGGUGGCUUUUCAAGUCGGAUGUGAAAUCUCUUAGCAAAACUAAGAAAUUGCAUCCGAAACUGGAUUGCUUGAGGUCGGGAGAGGAGAGUGGAAUUCUCGGUGUAGCGGUGAAAUGCGCAGAUAUCGAGAAGAACACCAUUAGCGAAGGCGGCUCUCUGGAACGAUACCGACACUAAGGUGCGAAAGCUAGGGUAGCAAACAGGAUUAGAUACCCUGGUAGUCCUAGCUGUAAACGAUGGGCACUGGAUGUAGGAAGAUAUCGAUUCUUCCUGUGUCGUAGCUAACGCGUUAAGUGCCCCGCCUGGGGAGUACGACCGCAAGGUUAAAACUCAAAUGAAUUGACGG
Molecule: ribosomal RNA, 946 nt
Filed under: uncultured bacterium
Lineage: Bacteria
Description: bacterial SSU rRNA
Rfam family: Bacterial small subunit ribosomal RNA
Source: RNAcentral